UGAGGAAUAUUGGACAAUGGGCGCAAGCCUGAUCCAGCCAUGCCGCGUGAGUGAUGACGGCCCUAGGGUUGUAAAGCUCUUUUACCUGUGAAGAUAAUGACGGUACCAGGAGAAUAAGCCCCGGCUAACUUCGUGCCAGCAGCCGCGGUAAUACGAAGGGGGCUAGCGUUGUUCGGAAUCACUGGGCGUAAAGCGCACGUAGGCGGAUCCUUAAGUCAGGGGUGAAAUGCCGAGGCUCAACCUCGGAACUGCCUUUGAUACUGGGGAUCUCGAGUCCGGGAGAGGUGAGUGGAACUGCGAGUGUAGAGGUGAAAUUCGUAGAUAUUCGCAAGAACACCAGUGGCGAAGGCGGCUCACUGGCCCGGAACUGACGCUGAGGUGCGAAAGCGUGGGGAGCAAACAGG
RNAcentral lists this ribosomal RNA (404 nucleotides) under uncultured prokaryote. RNAcentral describes it as "bacterial SSU rRNA". It matches the Rfam family "Bacterial small subunit ribosomal RNA", at positions 355 to 776 of the family's 1533-position model. RNAcentral also lists the same sequence under 1 other name. The record is from RNAcentral.